UAUUCUAAGCAGAGCAAAUGUAAAUAUUUAGGAUUUUAUUCAUCAUGAUAAACCCAAAAAGGAGGUGGGUCUCUCCCCAAUGUGAAAACAAGAGAACGUCAAACCACAAUACAGGCAAGCCUUCUAGAACUCCGAGGGAGCUGCAGCAUCUGACAUAGUGCUUUUAAACCGCUGGAGUGUUCGAAACUAUCAAGUGCAGCGUGGAGACAUUGUGUCACUAGUGUAAAUAAUUCAGUUUCUGACUAACUGAAAUGAUGACGUUCACAAGUAAAAUUGAUUUCUAAACACACACAAACAUGUAGAAUUAAACUGUUUUGAGAUCCCCUUAUGCCCAGUUCCUUUGUUGUGUCUUGAGGGCAGAGAUUUUUUUUUUUAAUUUUCAAAUUCACAGCAGGCACUGGACCCCCUGCAGUUUUCAGUGUACCCAGAAAAUUUCUAUCUCGGCUUUCUAAUAUUUUUGUAUUACAAUUUCCAAUACGUUUAUUCUAAAAAGUGACUGGUAAACCCAGUGGCGUAUAUCCAUUGGUGAUUAUUUAAUUUUCUUCCCUGUGCAAUGAUGAAAUGCCUCAAGUAAAUAUGUGUGUGAGCUGCAGGAGCAGGACACAUGCUGUUUGAUAGUUGCAAUGUUUGGAUGCUUGUUUUGAAGAAAACUUAUGAGGCUUAUGAAAAAUGUGUUAGAUUGAUCUGAAAAUCUGUAUACUGCUUUAUUAUAGCGGGGGAAGGAAAGGCAGUUACAGACUAACCAUUACCCUAAAACACCCCAAAACCCAACAUGCUGACUAGUGAUAGAUCUACAGUAUUACACAUAUUGUCACAUAUUGGUGGUAUUUGCCAUGUUAGGUACAUACUAAAUAAAUGGCUAACUAUGUACAAACCUUGUACUAUAAAAACAUACCUGAAUAAAAAUGACACUACAUUAAACUAAAGAAUAUGAUAGCAGUAGUAAUAUAUACAUUUCUUGCGCAUUUUAAAAACAGCCUACAUUCUAGAGAAUAACUAUCUGUUAAGAUAUUGUCUUGAAAUACAUCAUGAAGACAUUAUUGUCUGUGACAGAUGAGCUUGUUAAAAUCAAAUGGCGAUAAAGGUCACGAGUUUACUCUGUGAAUGUGAUCUUUCCGAGUGAUGACAGAUAGCAAAAACAUACCUCAGUAUCCUGUAAUAUUUCUGUGCUAUAUAAAUACAUGUCAAGUAUUCUCUUGUGGAUUUCUCGUUUCAUUGGAAUAACUUGGUAGUGUUAUCUGAAUAACUACUCUGCUCUCCUAGGCUGAUUUAAUCAGGUUCCUGAGGCUGUUUUAUAAACCGUUUUUGAAAUUGAGUGACUAUUGAAACCGUACUGUCUUGGCAUCAGAUCUUCAGGCUAUUAUCAAGGCACCAAUUAGCGUACUCCCUUAAACGUUAACCUGUGUGCAUGUACAUCUCUUCUUAGUUUUAAAUAAAAAAUGUAAAAACA
Acipenser ruthenus (sterlet) is the source of this 1450-nucleotide long non-coding RNA. RefSeq lists it as uncharacterized. The transcript has 2 exons. The record is from RefSeq and is a predicted model, not a curated record. NCBI's taxonomy places the organism in Eukaryota, Metazoa, Chordata, Actinopteri, Acipenseriformes, Acipenseridae.